CCGGAUCAGUGGCGAACGGGUGAGUAACACGUGGGCAACCUGCCCUUCACUCUGGGAUAACCCCGGGAAACCGGGGCUAAUACCGGAUACGACCCCUGCAGGCAUCUGCGGGGGUGGAAAGUUUUUCGGUGAAGGAUGGGCCCGCGGCCUAUCAGCUUGUUGGUGAGGUAAUGGCUCACCAAGGCGACGACGGGUAGCCGGCCUGAGAGGGCGACCGGCCACACUGGGACUGAGACACGGCCCAGACUCC
This 250-nucleotide ribosomal RNA is filed under the name uncultured Actinomycetales bacterium. RNAcentral describes it as "partial 16S ribosomal RNA". It matches the Rfam family "Bacterial small subunit ribosomal RNA", at positions 87 to 339 of the family's 1533-position model. The record is from RNAcentral. Lineage: Bacteria; Bacillati; Actinomycetota; Actinomycetes; Actinomycetales.